This 228-nucleotide ribosomal RNA is filed under the name uncultured bacterium. Its description in RNAcentral is "partial 16S ribosomal RNA". It matches the Rfam family "Bacterial small subunit ribosomal RNA", at positions 15 to 231 of the family's 1533-position model. The record is from RNAcentral.
GAUCAUGGCUCAGGAUGAACGCUAGCUACAGGCUUAACACAUGCAAGUCGGAGGGGCAGCGAUGAAGAAAGCUUGCUUUCUUCAGGCGGCGACCGGCGCACGGGUGAGUAACGCGUAUCGAACCUGCCUCAUACUCGGGAAUAGCCUUGCGAAAGUAAGAUUAAUGCCCGAUGUUAUUAGAAUAUCACAUGAUGUUUUAAUUAAAGAUUUAUCGGUAUGAGAUGGCGA